ACCCGAAACCCGGUGAUCUAGCCAUGGGCAGGUUGAAGGUUGGGUAACACUAACUGGAGGACCGAACCGACUAAUGUUGAAAAAUUAGCGGAUGACCUGUGGCUGGGGGUGAAAGGCCAAUCAAACCGGGAGAUAGCUGGUUCUCCCCGAAAGCUAUUUAGGUAGCGCCUCGUGAAUUCAUCUCCGGGGGUAGAGCACUGUUUCGGCUAGGGGGCCAUCCCGGCUUACCAACCCGAUGCAAACUGCGAAUACCGGAGAAUGUUAUCACGGGAGACACACGGCGGGUGCUAACGUCCGUCGUGAAGAGGGAAACAACCCAGACCGCCAGCUAAGGUCCCAAAGUCAUGGUUAAGUGGGAAACGAUGUGGGAAGGCCCAGACAGCCAGGAUGUUGGCUUAGAAGCAGCCAUCAUUUAAAGAAAGCGUAAUAGCUCACUGGUCGAGUCGGCCUGCGCGGAAGAUGUAACGGGGCUAAACCAUGCACCGAAGCUGCGGCAGCGACGCUUAUGCGUUCGUUGGGUAGGGGAGCGUUCUGUAAGCCUGUGAAGGUGGCCUGUGAGGGUUGCUGGAGGUAUCAGAAGUGCGAAUGCUGACAUAAGUAACGAUAAAGCGGGUGAAAAGCCCGCUCGCCGGAAGACCAAGGGUUCCUGUCCAACGUUAAUCGGGGCAGGGUGAGUCGACCCCUAAGGCGAGGCCGAAAGGCGUAGUCGAUGGGAAACGGGUUAAUAUUCCCGUACUUGGUGUUACUGCGAAGGGGGGACGGAGAAGGCUAUGUUGGCCGGGCGACGGUUGUCCCGGUUUAAGCGUGUAGGUGUGUGUUCCAGGUAAAUCCGGUU
Molecule: ribosomal RNA, 835 nt
Filed under: Salmonella enterica subsp. enterica serovar Kedougou
Lineage: Bacteria; Pseudomonadati; Pseudomonadota; Gammaproteobacteria; Enterobacterales; Enterobacteriaceae
Description: partial 23S ribosomal RNA
Rfam family: Bacterial large subunit ribosomal RNA
Source: RNAcentral